Molecule: unclassified non-coding RNA, 23 nt
Filed under: Mus musculus (house mouse)
Lineage: Eukaryota; Metazoa; Chordata; Mammalia; Rodentia; Muridae
Description: oocyte_clustered_small_RNA12318
Source: RNAcentral
UUGGAUCCACCACUCCAUUCGAA